AUAAUGGUACUCCCGUCCAGUCACAGUCCGAGCGGUAUCCAAUCCGCCGCAGGCAAUGAGGGCGGCUCUGGCAGACCGUCAGUUGGGGUGAAACUCCCGUG
This 101-nucleotide non-coding RNA is filed under the name [Clostridium] innocuum. Its description in RNAcentral is "pemK RNA". It matches the Rfam family "pemK RNA". RNAcentral also lists the same sequence under 5 other names. The record is from RNAcentral. Lineage: Bacteria; Bacillati; Bacillota; Clostridia; Eubacteriales; Clostridiaceae.